ACCUGGACGGUUCAUUCGCUAGAGCAUGAGACUCUCAAUCUCUGGGUUGUGGGUUUGAGUCCCACACUGGGUG
RNAcentral lists this transfer RNA (73 nucleotides) under Canis lupus familiaris (dog). It matches the Rfam family "tRNA". Rfam says of the family: Transfer RNA (tRNA) molecules are approximately 80 nucleotides in length. Their secondary structure includes four short double-helical elements and three loops (D, anti-codon, and T loops). The record is from Rfam by way of RNAcentral. Lineage: Eukaryota; Metazoa; Chordata; Mammalia; Carnivora; Canidae. RNAcentral also lists the same sequence under 1 other name.